CCGCUUGUGUCGGAAUCCGGGUAGUUGCACCCCUCCGGCGCUCUCUCGCACAUACACACGCACACGCAGGCGGGGGAGCGGAGGGGAAGGCUGGUCGGCUGCGGACCGAGCCGGGUUGGGAAAGGGUAUACACAGAAAAGUCCUAUGCUAUCCGAAGGCAGUAUUUCAACAGCUGAGGAACACUUUGUGAAGAGCCCACACGUCCCUUUUCGGAAGGUUGACUGUUGUGAUCUACAGAAAACAAUGUAAGACAAUAGUUGACUGUAUCUUGGUAAGUUGACUUACCAAGCAUCUGUAAACACUAAUUUACAAAUUGACAAAUGCUUAAAAAAUAUUUCAUGUACAAACCUGAUGUGUUCCCAAAAUAAAUAUCAUACAUCAAGA
Pantherophis guttatus is the source of this 384-nucleotide long non-coding RNA. RefSeq lists it as uncharacterized. The record is from RefSeq and is a predicted model, not a curated record. NCBI's taxonomy places the organism in Eukaryota, Metazoa, Chordata, Lepidosauria, Squamata, Colubridae.